RNAcentral lists this long non-coding RNA (253 nucleotides) under Elaeis guineensis (African oil palm). Its description in RNAcentral is "long non-coding RNA (EGUI_LNC070210)". The record is from RNAcentral. Lineage: Eukaryota; Viridiplantae; Streptophyta; Magnoliopsida; Arecales; Arecaceae.
CCGACCGGCUGGCGGCCCGACCGACCGACCUCGACUGAAAGCCGGGGGUGACCGACUAACGGACGCUACCGACGGCUUUUCGAUGGCCCAAUCGCCGACUGGAGGUAUGUCGGGCGUAUCCUUCCCGACCGACCAGACCCAGAGGCCGACUCACAUGAAACUCGCCGACUGACGGAGGAACCCGACGCCACUCUGCUGGCCACCGACCAAGGGUCGGCCGUCUCCUCCCAUCGCCGUACAGCCGCCAGACCUU